CACUCCUGUCUUCUCUAGAUUUUUACAUUCAGGAUGAAAUCAGCAAAUUUUAGAGCUUGCCGAGAUUGAAACGAUGGUGUUUAGCGAUGCAGCCCCGAGCAUGCAGAGCCCAGCACUGCUUUGCUCCCAGUAAUGAGUCCCCCCAGGGGGUCACAGCCCCCACUGCAUGGGGCUGCCCAAUGCCUUGUGUUUCUUCCAGCAAAGACACUGUACAGUCACAGGCAGCUGCACUGUGGAAAAUGUAAAUGCAAUAGAAAACACAGACUUGGAGGAGCAGCUGUUGUCCCCUCCAGGUCAAGCAGUGGUCUUGAAAGAUGAACCAGCACAGAGGGAACUCAGAAGGAGCAAGAUGUUUAUAUCCAAAGCCAGAACUGUAUUUCCCACGGUCCCAUCCAAAGAACUCCAGCUGCAAACAAAUCCAGGGGAGCAUCAGCCUUUUCUACAGCAGUGAUUGUUGGUACUACCUCACUGUGCUGCUGAUGUCCACCGUGCAAUGUGCCCACUGCAUGGUGCCAGAGAGAAGCACGAUUAAGGGAAGGCUAGCAGAAAGGAGAGAGAAUGUAUAGCAUAGAAGCCUAGAAAGCAGCAGCAUCAGCAGACCAAGAGGAGGUUAUUCCCGUGA
RNAcentral lists this long non-coding RNA (622 nucleotides) under Phasianus colchicus (ring-necked pheasant). RNAcentral describes it as "lncRNA (ENSPCLG00000000651.1)". The record is from RNAcentral. Lineage: Eukaryota; Metazoa; Chordata; Aves; Galliformes; Phasianidae.